This 630-nucleotide ribosomal RNA is filed under the name Triticum aestivum (bread wheat). RNAcentral describes it as "partial small subunit ribosomal RNA". Lineage: Eukaryota; Viridiplantae; Streptophyta; Magnoliopsida; Poales; Poaceae. The record is from RNAcentral.
AUGUAUGCCAUGGUUUGUUCUCGUCCGGAUUUAUCAUAUGCGUUGAGUGUUGUCAGUAGAUACAUGGCUAAUCCUAGAAAAGAGCAUUGGAGAGCAGUUCAGUGGAUUUUCAGAUACCUGCGUGGUACUUCUAAUGCUUAUUUACAGUUUGGGAAAACUGGAGAUGGACUUGUUGGUUUUGUUGAUUCUGAUUUUGCUGGUGAUUUGGAUAAGAGAAGAUCACUCACAGGUUAUGUUUUCACCAUUGGUGGUUGUGCUGUGAGUUGGAGAGCAACUUUGCAGUCUAUUGUGGCUUGUUCCACUACUGAUGCCGAGUAUAUGGCUAUUUCUGAGGCAUGCAAAGAAGCUAUCUGGUUGAGAGGUUUGUACAAUGAGCUUUGUGGAGAUUCAUCUUGCCCUACCAUAUUUUCUGAUAGUCAAAGUGCCAUAUAUCUUACAAAGAAUCCAAUGUAUCAUGAGAGGACAAAGCACAUUGAUGUUAGAUUUCACUAUAUUCGAGAUGUUGUUGCUGAAGGUGAUUUGAAGGUAUGCAAGAUAAGUACUCAUGAUAAUCCUGCUGAUAUGAUGACAAAGCCAGUUCCUACCAAUAAGUUUGAGCUUUGCUCAGGCUUAGUUGGUAUUUCUCAUUAG